CUACAUUCGUACGAAAGUUUGGAUUCGAAUGAGUUCGAAAAUGCCAUUCUUGUUUACGUACAAAGGCCGUACGAAUCCAUUCGUAUCCCGUACGAAUGCGAUACGUAUGCGAAAAGGGUGGAUGUCUAUGCAAAAAUGGUUGAUGUCUAGACUUAAGGGUUAGAAAAAGUUUAAACGUCAGGAGAGAAAUGUCAAGUGUGUCAAGCCGAUUGAGCGAGGCUCCUGACGGCAAACAGUUUUUCACUGGAUGAAAAUUAAAUAUUUUUUUAUUAUAAUUUGCAUCAUAAAAAUACCUUGUUCUUAAAAAUAUCGUCGGUAAACGUAAGCAUAUAACACAAGUUAAACGCGGCUAUUAAAACUUUCAUUUUCGGAAUGAAAUUUAUUUGGCGAAAUAUGAAAUUGGAACCAAAUUUACAAACUCCGUUGCAAAAACAUAAGCGCGUCAUGGGUCUGCAUGAUGCAAUAAAACUUGUAUGUUUACAUUUUGUAAUCAUCUCGAACAGUAUUUCUUAGCAAGCUUAUUCGCGUUUUUUGAAGAUUUGUGAUAAAUAAGUAAAUGUGUGGUUAUGUGCGAUUCUGCGGACAUGGAUUCUGAUGCGGCUGGAGUAAUUACAUGCUAUCUAGAAGUGACUGUUUUCGUUAAUGGAUUCGAGUGCUUGUUGCUGUAGAAAAUCAUCAUCAAAAAGCACGGCAUAAUUUAAAAAAGAAGAUUGAUCUGCUUGCCGUACGUGAAUUUAUUCGAUAGGAAAACUGUAAAUUUACCAGAAGAAGCUUGUUUUAGAAUCGGUGUCAACUUUGGCCCUGCGUUUUUGGCCACUUCAUGUUUGUAGGAAUGCGAAUUGUCGAAAUUUGAAUUUGUCCUUAGUGUUGUUCCGAUAAGACAAUCAGCCUGGUCUACAAGCUAUCUAAAUAGCAGAACACACCGGUUAAAGUUAAGCUGAAGCAUCGUACACUAAAGGAGUUGAAGAAGACCAUCAAGGGCAAGCGACACAAACGGGACUUCCGUCAGAUUACCCUGCGUGGUGCUAGUGAUAUUAGGCGACCCUAGCGACCGGCCAUCGCCUCAGGCCACUGUCUUCGUACGGCUACCACUGCCUCAAAACGGCCCUGUAAACAAUGAUGAACGAUGGAUGUGAGGUUCCAGCGAAUUUUUAUUAUGGGCGCUUUCGGAGAAUUGGCAUCAAACCGACUCGCUUAUGUAAUACAAAAAGGACGUAGGUUCCGUAAUAAAGCCCAAUAAGUUGGAAUGCACUUUGUGAGUAGACUAUGAAAAAUAAAUGGUCGAUAAAAUCUACUAUUGGAAGCUUACUGCUUUUUUGAAGUUAACUCCUGCUAUUUAUUCGCGAACUUUAUUAGGUUUAUAUGCAACUAUGCACUUUUUAAACAAACAGGUUUUAAAUGAAUGGAACUUUGCCAGCUUUUUUAUUAAGCAGUUGUCUUAGCUUUUUCGUCACAUCCGUAAAUUUAUUCAAUCGCGCUCUAGUUUACUCUGAAGAGCAUAAUUCAAGAAAUAUUUUACGUGUGCUUCAAUGACCACGCGAUGUAAUGGUAAAGUGUUUGGGUGUGCUCCGUGGUGGCCCUCGUUGGCGUUAUGUUCACUCGAGCGCAUAAUCAAUCAUACCACAAAAACAACGUGUUAGUUUUUAUUUCUGGUACAAGUGGCAAUAAUUUGGGUUUGGCUUGCUUUGCUUUGAGUGAUACAAACUAUUAACGAUUGGAUUGGUAGCCGAAGUUAAUUGGAAAUUUCGAUUUUCUUGUAUAUCGGCACAGCGAUUAUGAUACGGUUUCAUUGCAUUGUCUCCUGGUGGUCGGAAGCCCAGAGACCAAGUAGUAACCUUAUCAUGAACGUAGUUGUAUAGCAACGAUUGCACCACCUACCACAGUGAUCCAUAUCAGUUUCAUGCCGCUACCACUAAUUCCUUUCUUUGAUACUUGUAGAUGCUGCACAGGGUUCCUCGAUCUCUAGUAGCAACUAGUAUUGGAUUACUACUCCAAAUAUCUCAUCCUCUAUUGAUCUGCAGCUGGCCUGGCCAUCUACAUUAUUUACUAGGACGGUUUUGACGGU
This is a long non-coding RNA of Wyeomyia smithii (pitcher-plant mosquito), 2065 nucleotides long. RefSeq lists it as uncharacterized. The transcript has 4 exons. Lineage: Eukaryota; Metazoa; Arthropoda; Insecta; Diptera; Culicidae. The record is from RefSeq and is a predicted model, not a curated record.